Molecule: transfer RNA, 93 nt
Filed under: Salmo salar (Atlantic salmon)
Lineage: Eukaryota; Metazoa; Chordata; Actinopteri; Salmoniformes; Salmonidae
Rfam family: tRNA
About the family: Transfer RNA (tRNA) molecules are approximately 80 nucleotides in length. Their secondary structure includes four short double-helical elements and three loops (D, anti-codon, and T loops).
Source: Rfam by way of RNAcentral
GCCCAUUUGGCUCAGUUGGUAGAGCAUGGUGUUUGCAACGCCAGCAUGGUGUGUGCAACGCCAGGGUUGUGGGUUCGAUUCCCACGGGGGGCC